RNAcentral lists this unclassified non-coding RNA (172 nucleotides) under uncultured fungus. RNAcentral's name for it is "sequence contains ITS1". The record is from RNAcentral. Lineage: Eukaryota; Fungi.
GUAAUUAUUAUGUAUAAUUCAGACGCUGAUUGAAGAUUUAAAAGGUUAUAGUUUUUGUCCAAUCGGCGAGCAAGCCCGCCGAGGAAACAAUAGGUGCGCAAAAAAACAAGGGUAUAAACAAGUAGCUAGGCUACUGAAUGUAAUGAUCCUUCCGCAGGUUCACCUACGGAAA